This 492-nucleotide ribosomal RNA is filed under the name uncultured bacterium. RNAcentral's name for it is "partial 16S ribosomal RNA". It matches the Rfam family "Bacterial small subunit ribosomal RNA", at positions 29 to 507 of the family's 1533-position model. The record is from RNAcentral.
AGUGAACGCUGGCGGUAGGCCUAACACAUGCAAGUCGAACGGCAGCACAGUAAGAGCUUGCUCUUACGGGUAGCGAGUGGCGGACGGGUGAGGAAUACAUCGGAAUCUACUUUUUCGUGGGGGAUAACGUAGGGAAACUUACGCUAAUACCGCAUACGACCUACGGGUGAAAGCGGGGGAUCUUCGGACCUUGCGCGAUUGAAUGAGCCGAUGUCGGAUUAGCUAGUUGGCGGGGUAAAGGCCCACCAAGGCGACGAUCCGUAGCUGGUCUGAGAGGAUGAUCAGCCACACUGGAACUGAGACACGGUCCAGACUCCUGCGGGAGGCAGCAGUGGGGAAUAUUGGACAAUGGGCGCAAGCCUGAUCCAGCCAUACCGCGUGGGUGAAGAAGGCCUUCGGGUUGUAAAGCCCUUUUGUUGGGAAAGAAAAGCAGCAGGUUAAUACCCCGCUGCUCUGACGGUACCCAAAGAAUAAGCACCGGCUAACUUCGUG